AUGUUUCUAAUGGGAUGCAGGACAAGAAUGAGUGCUGAAGGUCAAAACCAGUGGGCUUUAAUGGAUAUCUUUGAGUUUUUCUUCCAAAACCAUAUCCCUUUGUCCCCUGCUUUAUAUCUGAAGAGGAUGACCUAUAGAGAUUACAUCCGCAGCCAGAGCAGAGGUUGUCACCUUCUCCUGGGCCCACUAAAUGCCAGCAGUCCCCCCACACCGUCACUGUGACAACCAAAAACCCUCAUGCCAAUAUCCAGAUUGCCUGACCCCAUGAGUCCAGACUGUGGGAGUUACCUUCAGAAGAACCAGAACAAGAAAUAUUUAGAAGAGGUUGCCUCUGGGAAGGAGGCCACUGGCUAGGAGGGACGGCUGGGAGACUCUUGCUUUUUAUCAUAAGCACUUGUGUUCUAUUUAAUUUUUACCAUGUUUAUGCAUUAUAUACACAUAUAAAUUUUAUUAAAAAUCAAAAAAGUGUUGCUGCCUUUCCUAUGGACAGGAAGUUAUUGACUUCAGCCCAAAUUACCAUUGCCACAAUCAGGCUACCACUACAGUUAGGAAGCUGUUGCUUCUGCCACCAGAGUUAGAGCCAUACUGCCUCCUACCAUCUGUAUCUGUACCUGUGAAAUGGAUAUGCAGUAUGUUGCCUUUCAACAUGCAUGAAGGUAGUGACUGGACAAUGAGACCUUUUCUAACACAACCAACGAAAAUACAAAUGUCUUCGCAAUCUUAGUUGAUCACAUAAACAAAAACAACAGCAAAGGAAAGGAGGAGACUGGCAUCCUCCUCACUUGUGCCUUUCAAAUUUUAGAAAAGUCCAUCUUCUUUCCAAAACUAAAUCACGUUCAGGUCUUGGCAAUGAUUUAUUGGAUUGGAAUUAUACCAUCAUCUCUACUGCAUCUCCUGCUUGCCAAUUGCAGAUCUUGGACCUCUCAGCUCCAAGUGUGAGCCAGUUUCUGAUAGUAAAUACACACACACACACACACACACACACACACACACACACUUCUUAUACUAUAGGAAUAUAUAUAUUACACAUAUAACAUAUGCAAUAUAUAAUAUAUGUAAGUAUGUGUGUUCUGUUUCUCUGGAGUACUAUUGGUCUGUUUCUCUGGAGAACCCUAACACAGAAUUUGAAAUUGAGAGUGGUUCCACAGAUACAGAAUUUUAAGGAUGAAUUUUCUGAACGGUUUUAUAUUUACAGAGAUCAUUUGGAAUACAGAGAAUACCUAUAAUCCUAUACCCAGUUUUCCUUAUUGUUAUCAUUUUACCAUUAAGAUGGUACAUUUGUUGCAAUUAAUUAACCAAUAAUGAUGCAUUAGUAUGAACUAAAGCAAUACUUUAUUUAGAUCUCCUUAGUUUUUAGCUAUUGUCCUUUUUUGGGGAGGAUCCCAUUUUAAUUACCAAAUCACACUUAUCACACUUCUUAGUCUUUUAUUGGCUAUGACAAUUUCACAAACUUUCCCUUGUUUUCCUUUCUUUUUUUAAUAAUAGGCAUAUUUUGCUUUUUAUUAUGUGACAUAUAUAAAAAUAAAAUUAACGUGUAAUUUCUAUUUACUUAUUUAAACGUUAUUGGGGUAUAAUUUAUAUACAAAAAUGUGCACAUAUUUAAUGUAUACACCCAUAAUGCCAUCACCACUAUUAAGCUAUGUGCUUACUAUGGUAUGUGCACAUAAACCUAUAAUCUCCAAAAUUUCCUUGUGCUCUUUUGUGUGUUUGUGCUUCUGGUAAAAACAUUUAAUGAGCUUUAUCCUCUUAACAUAGUUUAAAGUGCACAAUACCAAAUUGUUAACUAUAAGUAUUACGGUGUAUAGCAGAUUUCCAGAAACUAUUCACUUUACAUAACUGAAACUUUAUACUCAUUUAACCGCGAUUGUCUGAUGUUUUUAUUAGACUAGUAGUCGUUAACUUUUAAUCAUUAUUUUUAGUUAAUUUUUAAACAUUAAGGAAAUGGAAAGAUGUAAUUUCUGAAAUGUUUCAAUAUUAAUAUUUUAAAUGAAACUGUUAAAUGCUCUUUUAAUUGUAUCUAAUCUAAUCUAAAUACUCUAGCAAAUUGAUAGUCAUGACCAUUUAUUUUAAAAAUACAAGAAAUUUGUUUAAUUGUAAGAAAUUGAAUGUCAUGUACUCAUCGAGCUCUACAUUUUAUUCUACUUUCCCCAUGAAAUUUUAUGUUAAGAAAACAUAUUUUUAUCCUUAAAAUUAUUUUAUUGAUCCCCUAUCAAACUUGUUUUUAACAAAGCUAUGCUUAUAAAUUUAAACUAAAAUUUUUUAUUAUAUUAAAACGUGUGGCGUCAUAUUAUCAUUGAAUUAUGAGUAUGCAAUUUGAUUAAAAUCAUAUGAUAAUUAUUAAACAAAUAAUUUAAUUAAGCACUUACUGAGAUGAAUGACACAUUUUUCAAUUAGUUCAUGCAACACUAGAUGAAUAUUACUCAUUGCUUUAGUGAGAUAGGGAAUUCAGCAUCAAUUCACAUAAAUAGGUAGAUGGGAAUAGAAUGGAUUUUGUUACACUGAUUUUCCUUAAUUCUUUGAACACUUUCUGAGUUAUAUGACAAACAUCUCAAUGUGAUCUAGCAUCAAAAAGCACAUUUGAUGAUUUAUUAACUGAAUAUUCUAUUAGGUCUACCUUCAAUUUUGCUGAGAGCAAAGAAUUGAAAAUCAAUUCACUUGCAAAGACUUGCUACACAGUUGUUGGAAUCAUUCAUUUUCUCAGUUUCUGGGAACUGUACCAGAAGUGCUUCACCAAUACUUUUCAGAUGGCUAUUAAUUAUAUCCGUUAUUUUUGAAUAGAGGCAUAUAGUUUAACUUAAUACACUCAAGAAACAACUAGGACAUGAGAUAGUAGUAACUUCUACAUACCUUUGCCAACAGAAUAAUUUGACAAAAUACUGUGUCUCCAUAGUCUAUAUGCAUUAAAUAUAUUUUUAUCAAAACUCAGAAAUUUAUAUUCAGUUCAUCCAAUUAAUAGAUUUCCAGUCUAUAUCCAAAUUAGCAAAGCCAUUACUUUUUAGUAAACCAAUCAACUAAAUCAAGCAUAAUCAUUGUUAGAAAAAGUCUAGCUUUAUUUUUUAAUUCAAGUAAAUGGAUGAACAUGGGUUUCAUUUUCACUAUUAUUAAAAGCACUGGAAACCAAAUUAUGGAAUGCGUCUUGUAAGAUAGAUUCCCCAAAACAGCUGAGUCUAAUUUAAGAUGAUGUAGGAUCUAAAAUAAUAAAAAAUAUUUUAGUUUUUAUGAAUCACAAAACAAAAAUAUAUCACCUUUUAAAAUUUAUUCUGUAUAAUAAUGUAAUAACCAAUAUCCAAUAUCUUAUGUGGUGGAGAGCUAAAAUAAGUAGCUGCAAAGUGAGGAGUAUAAUAAAUCAGCCAUAAUAUUCCUUUCCUAAAUGAGUCUGUAGACGUUCAUUGAAUUCUGGUAUCUGAUUUUGGGAACUAUUAAACAAGUAUAUUAUAUAAAUAUUGAAAAUAAAAUCAAUUUUUGAUAAAAUAACAUUUUCUAUGUAUUUUAUGAAAGAAAAAUGUUUUUAUUGAUGAAUUGACAUGGCAGAUACCAUAUGAUUGCAUACUAUAUAAUAGGAAAUAGAAAAUAUUAACUACUUUAUAAAAUGAACCAGUAUAUAAUUACAAUAAAUAUUUAAAGUUCUGAUUUGAUAAACUAUACUUUAAUGACUUUAAUAAUGCAUACUGAAUCUAAAGAAAAUCACAUAAAAUCUUCAUCUUAGAUAUAGUUUCCAC
Callithrix jacchus (white-tufted-ear marmoset) is the source of this 3719-nucleotide long non-coding RNA. NCBI's taxonomy places the organism in Eukaryota, Metazoa, Chordata, Mammalia, Primates, Cebidae. The record is from Ensembl.